AUGGCGUCGGAGAAAGACGCGGCGCUCGCCGCCGUGCCCAACGACAACCCCACCAUAUUUGACAAGAUCAUCAAAAAGGAGAUACCUUCUACAGUGGUGUAUGAGGAUGAGAAGGUCCUCGCUUUCAGAGACAUAAAUCCUCAAGCUCCGACCCACAUUGUAAUCAUUCCCAAAGUCAAGGAUGGAUUAACCGGCCUUUCAAAGGCAGAAGAGAGGCAUGUAGAGAUACUUGGCUGCCUCCUCUACGCUGCAAAAGUUAUCGCAAAGCAGGAAGGACUUGAAGAUGGCUACCGUAUUGUCAUCAAUGAUGGCCCUAGUGGAUGUCAAUCUGUUUACCACAUCCAUGUCCAUCUCCUUGGAGGGAGGCAGAUGAACUGGCCCCCAGGCUAA
Molecule: ribosomal RNA, 390 nt
Filed under: Triticum aestivum (bread wheat)
Lineage: Eukaryota; Viridiplantae; Streptophyta; Magnoliopsida; Poales; Poaceae
Description: partial small subunit ribosomal RNA
Source: RNAcentral